Molecule: non-coding RNA, 28 nt
Filed under: Rattus norvegicus (Norway rat)
Lineage: Eukaryota; Metazoa; Chordata; Mammalia; Rodentia; Muridae
Source: RNAcentral
UGGUACAUGAUACUAAAACUGGAGUGUC